AAUGAACGCUGGCGGCAGGCCUAACACAUGCAAGUCGAACGGAUCCUUCGGGAUUAGUGGCGGACGGGUGAGUAACGCGUGGGAACAUACCCUUUGGUACGGAAUAGCCGCGGGAAACUGGGAGUAAUACCGUAUGUGGUCGAGAGACGAAAGAUUUAUCGCCAAAGGAUUGGCCCGCGUUGGAUUAGGUAGUUGGUGGGGUAAUGGCCUAGCAAGCCGACGAUCCAUAGCUGGUUUGAGAGGAUGAUCAGCCACAAUGGGACUGAGACACGGCCCAUACACCUACGGGUGGCAGCAACUGGGAAUCGUACACAAUGGACGAAAGUCUGAUGUCGCGACGCCGCGUGAAGGAUGAAGGCGUAUUCGUUGUAAACUUCUUUUGCCAAUGUAGAGAUACAUUGGAGAAUAAGCACCUGCUAAUCUCGUGCCAGCCGCCGCGGUAA
RNAcentral lists this ribosomal RNA (443 nucleotides) under uncultured bacterium. RNAcentral describes it as "partial 16S ribosomal RNA". It matches the Rfam family "Bacterial small subunit ribosomal RNA", at positions 29 to 523 of the family's 1533-position model. The record is from RNAcentral.